AAUGUAACAAAAUGUGGAAAAAAGAAGGGGUCUGAAUACUUUCCGAAUGCACUGUACAUUUCAACCAAGAGCAACAGCUCUAACAGCUAUGUGGUCUACUUUCCAAACCACAACAUUAAACAACCAAUCUUUUUCUUUUUUCUGUUAACCCGGCGGUCUCUUAGUGUGAGGGAGGGAAAGUUACUUGCACCUCUACGUUUUUAGGCUUCAUGGUAUGGUGGUUGUGUACAAAUGGAAGCAAACUUUGUGCAGGAAUACUGAGGGGUAAUAUUAUAUGAGUGUGUCAGACCUGAUUCCAUGUAGCACUCAUUAUUUACAUUGCAAAUGAGCAGCAGGCGCAGUGGAUGGAUGGACCCAGAGAGAGAAGUGAAGUAUUAACCCAGAACUAUUUCAAUAUCUUUCCUGAGGAAACCUUUGCUCUCAACCGGUGCUGUCCCCUUAAAGGGCUAUCCACAAAAUGUACACAAAUUAGUUUCCUGAUACACCACAAGAACAUAGUCAAUAACACACACAUAAAUUAUAAGCAUAACUGAUGGUCCACUACUUCCUUCUGUAAAAGAUGUAUCCAGUGUAGCGUAAACCAAAUGUGAAACCAAUCAACACUGUGGCACUCCCCAGGUCUUGAUGUACCAUAUGAGAGACAAUGCAAUACAGUCCUCUGACCCUGGCUAUGAAGGGUCUUCACUGCAAUCUCCAUCGUGGCCAGCAUCAAGGAUGCUCCUCUUGCCUCCUGUCUCUACCUUCAACAGAACACCCCAACCUGACUGUCAUCCACUAAGUAUAUGUGGGAGAGUCCAGGGUGUCCAGAGAGUCAUGGGUGAAGUCCUCCUCAGCAGAGAGCCGAGGGCUGCUAUAGCUGGUGCAGUGAGGCUGUGCUCGGGUAUGCCCACUGCCAAAAUCGCUGUCCAGCCACAGGCCUAAGUAGCCAUGCUGACCACCCGUGCUCUGAAACCCACACAGACAAAUUACAUAAGUGACAUUCCUUGGGUCAAGAAUAACAACAGUUGAAUUUUGCUCAAUUUGUAAAUUGGGAGGUGCCGGAACAAAAAGUGAGCCCUAUGGGGCUCUUGAAAAAGAAAAUCACCUUUUAUAAUAAAGAAUUGCAUGCAUUAUCAUCGCUUUUGUGUACUGGCAUAGAGCAGUAAAGUAGAGGCGCUUGCAGAAGUUGCCCAUAGGAAAACACUUUUGUAGCCUGGGUUCCGGAAAAAAUGUGGCAUCAAUUCUACAUACUUUUAUUUGACUGGAGACUUUAGCAGAAUACGUUUUAAUACCUCUGAAAUGAUCGAAAUGACAGGCUACUUUGACAGUGAGAUCAAUAAAACGACCAUGUCUUGAAUCCAUCAAUAGCAUAGGUGUGUGGAGACAUAUUGUACAAUAUGAGGAGGGAUUUUUUUCACUGACUCACCCAAGGAUGCGCAACUCACUCACCGGUGAAGGCCGAAGUGCUACUGCCAAAACCUUGUCGAUCUCUCUCUUGUUUUACUUUUACUUUACUUUUUUUUACUUUAGUUUAUUUAGCAAAUAUUUUCUUAACUCAAUUUUUUAAACUGCAUUGUUGGUUAAGGGCU
This is a non-coding RNA of Oncorhynchus mykiss (rainbow trout), 1568 nucleotides long. The record is from RefSeq and is a predicted model, not a curated record. NCBI's taxonomy places the organism in Eukaryota, Metazoa, Chordata, Actinopteri, Salmoniformes, Salmonidae.